This 412-nucleotide ribosomal RNA is filed under the name Enterobacter asburiae. RNAcentral's name for it is "bacterial SSU rRNA". It matches the Rfam family "Bacterial small subunit ribosomal RNA", at positions 1114 to 1526 of the family's 1533-position model. Lineage: Bacteria; Pseudomonadati; Pseudomonadota; Gammaproteobacteria; Enterobacterales; Enterobacteriaceae. The record is from RNAcentral.
GUUGCCAGCGGUUAGGCCGGGAACUCAAAGGAGACUGCCAGUGAUAAACUGGAGGAAGGUGGGGAUGACGUCAAGUCAUCAUGGCCCUUACGAGUAGGGCUACACACGUGCUACAAUGGCGCAUACAAAGAGAAGCGACCUCGCGAGAGCAAGCGGACCUCAUAAAGUGCGUCGUAGUCCGGAUUGGAGUCUGCAACUCGACUCCAUGAAGUCGGAAUCGCUAGUAAUCGUAGAUCAGAAUGCUACGGUGAAUACGUUCCCGGGCCUUGUACACACCGCCCGUCACACCAUGGGAGUGGGUUGCAAAAGAAGUAGGUAGCUUAACCUUCGGGAGGGCGCUUACCACUUUGUGAUUCAUGACUGGGGUGAAGUCGUAACAAGGUAACCGUAGGGGAACCUGCGGUUGGAUCAC